RNAcentral lists this ribosomal RNA (2958 nucleotides) under Triticum aestivum (bread wheat). RNAcentral's name for it is "partial small subunit ribosomal RNA". The record is from RNAcentral. Lineage: Eukaryota; Viridiplantae; Streptophyta; Magnoliopsida; Poales; Poaceae.
AUGUGGAUUUAUGCAGACGGUUGCUGCUGUUUUUAUGUGUGUUGCAGUGAUCCAAAAAUGGAUGAUGAUGAAUCUUCCGAUGGGUCGUUUUCAACGCGCUUUUCAGCUAGCCGUUUGCGUGAGGUUGCAGAGAAGGAGCUGAAUGCUAACAAGAGGGCAGUGCUAGAGAAGUCGAGUUUUGGUUCGUUGUUGAAGAUCAGACCAUUUUUUGUACCUCUUGAGCUGAUUGACUGGGUAGUUAUGAGAAUUGACACUAAGCAUCCUUUGUUCAGCCAUAAAAAGAAGACUAUAUUGUUCACUAGAGACAUGGUGCAAAAAAAAAUUAAUGUCCCAUCCGGACCAAGGGUAGUGGAGCUGCUGAAGAGGAACGAACGUUGCGAGCUGCGCGACAUAUAUCGAGAAGGCACAAGGGCUCCAAUUAAGAAAUCCAUUUCUGUAAUCAAGAAAGCAUCGGAUAAUGAUGUUGUUACUUUAGAGAGGACUUGGGUUCUUUUAUGCCUUGCUCUCGUGCUAGUUCCUGGCACCGGCAACAUGGUCUCGUUGGACUACCUUGCUAGCUUGAAGGACUUGGAUGAACUGAAUGAGUUUGCGUGGGACGAGCAUGUGUUGGCAACUGCGUUGAGGGAGGCGAGGAAUUACCAACUAAAGAGGGAGGCUGGGGCAAGUGGCUUCUGGAUAGGGGGCUGUCUUCCUAUGUUCGUGUUAAUUUACAUGGAUUUCCUGGAUGUGCCUCGGUCAUUGAUUAGUGAGGAGACGUUCAACUACUCGCUGCCCAGGGCUUGCUUUGUGUGCAAUGCAGAUUUUGAGCUUGUUAAAGAAUUUGACAGGAACAAGCUCACCCUCGAGAAGGUUGAUUUUGGAAAGCGCAAUCAUCGUCCUUUGUCUCAAACGCCAUAUGCAGUACUGAAGGCGGACAAGCAAUGUGAGGGUCAGAAUCAACAUCAUCCGGCAAAUAUCACUAAUAGAGCUGACAAAGGCAACACUCAAGUCAGUGUUGAGGGUGAUUUAGGUGCCAAGUUUCGCGUCUCUCUGGAUGAGUGGCUGCAGCCGCUCCCUUCCUACCAAGAGUUAGAGAUACCUUUGCACUUGAAGCCUAUAUAUGAGAAGCACAAAAAUCUCUAUAUGGCAGAGUUGAAGAAUGUUGUUACCUCUUUUGGGCAGGUCCUGCAGUCAACUUUCUGCAAGCUGUUGGGUCUCAUGUUGAUGGAAGCGCACUCCAAUGCAGUGUCAAACCAUGAGCACAGGAGUGAAGGUUUUGUCGCCCCAAGAGUCAUUGCAACAAGCAGUGUCGAGCGCACGGGAGCGGUGACUUUUGGCACCCCAACAGCCACUGCAGCAGGCAUUGCUAUCCACUCUUCCAAGUGUCCAUUAUUGGAUCCUGAUUCCCGGGCAGAAGCAGGUGCUGAUGAUCAGAACAAGGCACAACCUGGUGGUGUAGUUGCUGCUCCCAAAGUAGUGGAGACCGGUGCAUUAGCUGAGAAGGUUGGGGUGGAAGCGGAACAGGGGGCGGGUCAAAGCACAAGCGUUGCAACGCGUUCCAGGGCUGCUGCGUUGCAACAAGGUGAGAGUAGCAAUCAUUCUCAUGGGAAGGAUUGUGUGGAGCAGGAGGAAGUUAUACAUCAGGGCGGAAAGGUGACCCCCAAAGAUUCUUGCAACAUGGAUCCUUCGGGAGCUUCUGAUAAGGUUGAAACACCAGUUCUUUCCCAGGGCACGGUGCAGGCAAUGAUGGUAACUGCCUUGGAGUGGGAAGAUGGCCCAUCUUGUGCUCUUUUCUCGGAGGGGACCGAAGACUAUGAGUGGAUGAAUCAAAAAGUAGACAUACCAGUCAAGCAUGUGCAGACAACAAAUGCUUCUAGCUCUGAUGUGCAGAAUUCAAUGCCAUCAGUGCCAAACUUUGACAACACUCCUCAAGUUGAAAGGCCUAGCAACCUCCCAACCGCAACAUUUGACACAGCUCCAAAGCUCCCUAGGGCAAACGACAUUCCGUGGCCUGUGUUUGAUGUGUCCUCCAUCUCAUUCAAAAACGCUUCCUCCGAUGGACCUCAAGUAGUAGUGGAUUUGCACGAGACAACCGAGGCGAAUGUUGAGGUCAGGGGUGAGUCCAACAGUCUUGGUAAACAGUCAAAGAAGAAAAGGGUGGCUGUCUCCCCAGACAAUGUGCCAACGAUGAAGAAGAUUAAGGUUGAUGCACACGGUGAUGCCUUACACCAUCAGUAUGUAAUGACCAGAUACAAGACAAGAAAACCAAAGAAAAACGAGCUUCUGCCCGACUUCAUUGAAAUAGAUGGCUUCCAUACAUCUCUCGAGAAUUUUCAUGCAUCUCUAAAGCCAAGAGCGGAGAUUGACAAUGAGGUCAUGACCUUAUACCUGAAGACAUUCAACUAUGAUCAGUCAGUGAAGAAGAAGAAGCCAAAAAAAUUUGUUUUCUCAAUGUUGAUGAGUUUGAAACUCAGUGCUGAGCCAGAUGUGUUUGAUCCGAAGGUGUGCGAAAAAGAAUUUAAGAAUGCUUGCUUACAAAAUCACAUUUCGAAAUCUGACCUGCUAUUCUUCAUGGUUGUACACAAAAGGCACUGGGCAGUAGUAGUUGUUAACAUCACCCAAAAGGAGUUCAAUAUCUUUGACUCCAUUAGGAACUCGGAAGACCUUUUUGAGAUGGACAGGAUCACUAAGAAUGUGGUCGCAAACAUCAAGAGUGUUGCAAUGAGGGAGCCACUUUUUAAGCACAGUCUCGAGUCUUACUCGCUAUUCAUCCCACUUGAUUACCCUCAACAAAAAACUUACUAUAACUGUGGCUACUAUAGUAUUUUAUACGUGGAGAAUUGGGAUGGCCUUGUUAUGCUGUCAUUUGGCGAGGAUUACAUCCCAAACCUUCGGAAACGCAUUGCAGCAGAUCUGUUGAGACACCCAAGCAACAAGUUGGACCCCGCGCAUCAGCUGAAGCUGCUUCUUCAGCGUUAG